CACUGAGCCAGGAUGGCUGAAGCUGAUGUUACAUACGCUGAUGUGAAGUUCAUAAGACAGAGGACUAAAGAUGAUGUUUCUUUAGUCAGUGAAGUCAACUCUGCAGCCAGAAGAUCACCAACAAAAGAACCAGUCUGUGCAAAGUGUGCAGCAGAUGUUGAACAAGCUGGAAAGAGCACAAGGCCAAAGGUCACCACAGAGCGAGUAGUCCUGCUGGUCCUCAUCGCUAUCUUGGUAGCUACCAUCAUCGCCCUGGCAGUCAGUGAGUUUGUGUAUUUUCCUUAUUUUAUAUAUA
Molecule: long non-coding RNA, 295 nt
Organism: Fundulus heteroclitus (mummichog)
Lineage: Eukaryota; Metazoa; Chordata; Actinopteri; Cyprinodontiformes; Fundulidae
Exons: 3
Source: RefSeq, a predicted model, not a curated record